RNAcentral lists this ribosomal RNA (861 nucleotides) under uncultured Bacteroidota bacterium. Its description in RNAcentral is "bacterial SSU rRNA". It matches the Rfam family "Bacterial small subunit ribosomal RNA", at positions 65 to 916 of the family's 1533-position model. The record is from RNAcentral. Lineage: Bacteria; Pseudomonadati; Bacteroidota.
UGGGGAAACGAUAGAGAAAGCUUGCUUUUUCUAGGCGUCGACCGGCGCACGGGUGAGUAACGCGUAUCCAACCUGCCCAUCACUUGGGGAUAACCUUGCGAAAGUAAGACUAAUACCCAAUGACGUCCAUAGAAGACAUCUGAAAUGGAUUAAAGAUUUAUCGGUGAUGGAUGGGGAUGCGUCUGAUUAGCUUGUUGGCGGGGUAACGGCCCACCAAGGCGACGAUCAGUAGGGGUUCUGAGAGGAAGGUCCCCCACAUUGGAACUGAGACACGGUCCAAACUCCUACGGGAGGCAGCAGUGAGGAAUAUUGGUCAAUGGGCGAGAGCCUGAACCAGCCAAGUAGCGUGCAGGAUGACGGCCCUAUGGGUUGUAAACUGCUUUUAUAAGGGAAUAAAGUGGGAGUCGUGACUCCUUUUGCAUGUACCUUAUGAAUAAGGACCGGCUAAUUCCGUGCCAGCAGCCGCGGUAAUACGGAAGGUCCGGGCGUUAUCCGGAUUUAUUGGGUUUAAAGGGAGCGUAGGCCGGAGAUUAAGCGUGUUGUGAAAUGUAGACGCUCAACGUCUGCACUGCAGCGCGAACUGGUUUCCUUGAGUACGCACAAAGUGGGCGGAAUUCGUGGUGUAGCGGUGAAAUGCUUAGAUAUCACGAAGAACUCCGAUUGCGAAGGCAGCUCACUGGAGCGCAACUGACGCUGAAGCUCGAAAGUGCGGGUAUCGAACAGGAUUAGAUACCCUGGUAGUCCGCACGGUAAACGAUGGAUGCCCGCUGUUGGUCUGAAUAGGUCAGCGGCCAAGCGAAAGCAUUAAGCAUCCCACCUGGGGAGUACGCCGGCAACGGUGCAACUCAAAUGAAUUGACGG